Molecule: ribosomal RNA, 430 nt
Filed under: Pseudomonadota bacterium
Lineage: Bacteria; Pseudomonadati; Pseudomonadota
Description: Proteobacteria bacterium partial 16S ribosomal RNA
Rfam family: Bacterial small subunit ribosomal RNA
Source: RNAcentral
UGGGGAAUAUUGGACAAUGGGGGGAACCCUGAUCCAGCCAUGCCGCGUGUGUGAAGAAGGCCUUAUGGUUGUAAAGCACUUUAAGCGAGGAGGAGGGUACUGGUAUUAAUACUACCAGCUACUGGACGUUACUCGCAGAAUAAGCACCGGCUAACUCUGUGCCAGCAGCCGCGGUAAUACAGAGGGUGCGAGCGUUAAUCGGAUUUACUGGGCGUAAAGCGUGCGUAGGCGGCUAAUUGUGUCGGAUGUGAAAUCCCCGAGCUUAACUUGGGAAUUGCAUUCGAUACUGGUUAGCUAGAGUGUGGGAGAGGAUGGUAGAAUUCCAGGUGUAGCGGUGAAAUGCGUAGAGAUCUGGAGGAAUACCGAUGGCGAAGGCAGCCAUCUGGCCUAACACUGACGCUGAGGUACGAAAGCAUGGGGAGCAAACAGG